GGAGGAUCCAAGCGUUAUCCGGAUUUAUUGGGUUUAAAGGGUGCGUAGGCGGUUUGAUAAGUUAGAGGUGAAGUACAGGUGCUUAACACCGGAACUGCCUCUAAUACUGUUGAACUAGAGAGUAGUUGCGGUAGGCGGAAUGUAUGGUGUAGCGGUGAAAUGCUUAGAGAUCAUACAGAACACCGAUUGCGAAGGCAGCUUACCAAACUAUAUCUGACGUCGAGGCACGAAAGCGUGGGGAGCAAACAGGAUUAGAUACCCUGGUAGUCCACGCAGUAAACGAUGAUAACUCGCUGUCGGCGAUACACAGUCGGCGGCUAAGCGAAAGCGAUAAGUUAUCCACCUGGGGAGU
This 352-nucleotide ribosomal RNA is filed under the name uncultured bacterium. Its description in RNAcentral is "bacterial SSU rRNA". It matches the Rfam family "Bacterial small subunit ribosomal RNA", at positions 527 to 881 of the family's 1533-position model. The record is from RNAcentral.